This 156-nucleotide non-coding RNA is filed under the name Bacteroides fluxus. The record is from RNAcentral. Lineage: Bacteria; Pseudomonadati; Bacteroidota; Bacteroidia; Bacteroidales; Bacteroidaceae.
GAAAGUGGCAAUUAAAAGGGAAUCAGGUGCAAAUCCUGAACAGUCCCGCUGCUGUAAGUUUCGCAUAUUGUUGCAGGCAAACUCUUUCAUGCCACUGGAUUUUUCCGGGAAGGCGCCUGUAACGGAAACAAGUCAGAAGACCUGCCAUGCAAACAU